CAGCAGCCGCGGUAAUACGGAGGGUGCAAGCGUUAUCCGGAUUUAUUGGGCUUAAAGGGUCCGUAGGCGGAUCUGUAAGUCAGUGGUGAAAUCUCACAGCUUAACUGUGAAACUGCCAUUGAUACUGCAGGCCUUGAGUAAAUUUGAAGUGGCUGGAAUAAGUAGUGUAGCGGUGAAAUGCAUAGAUAUUACUUAGAACACCAAUUGCGAAGGCAGGUCACUAAGAUUUAACUGACGCUGAUGGACGAAAGCGUGGGGAGCGAACAGGAUUAGAUACCCUGGUAGUCCACGCCGUAAACGAUGCUAACUCGUUUUUGGGGUUUCGGCUUCAGAGACUAAGCGAAAGUGAUAAGUUAGCCACCUGGGGAGUACGUUCGCAAGAAUGAAACUCAAAGGAAUUGACGGGGGCCCGCACAAGCGGUGGAUUAUGUGGUUUAAUUCGAUGAUACGCGAGGAACCUUACCAAGACUUAAAUGGGAAUUGACAGAUUUAGAAAUAGAUCUUUCUUCGGACAAUUUUCAAGGUGCUGCAUGGUUGUCGUCAGCUCGUGCCGUGAGGUGUUAGGUUAAGUCCUGCAACGAGCGCAACCCCUGUCACUAGUUGCUAGCAUUAAGUUGAGGACUCUAGUGAGACUGCCUACGCAAGUAGAGAGGAAGGUGGGGAUGACGUCAAAUCAUCACGGCCCUUACGUCUUGGGCCACACACGUAAUACAAUGGCCGGUACAGAGGGCAGCUACACAGCGAUGUGAUGCAAAUCUCGAAAGCCGGUCUCAGUUCGGAUUGGAGUCUGCAACUCGACUCUAUGAAGCUGGAAUCGCUAGUAAUCGCGCAUCAGCCAUGGCGCGGUGAAUACGUUCCCGGGCCUUGUACACACCGCCCGU
This 881-nucleotide ribosomal RNA is filed under the name uncultured bacterium. RNAcentral's name for it is "bacterial SSU rRNA". It matches the Rfam family "Bacterial small subunit ribosomal RNA", at positions 509 to 1397 of the family's 1533-position model. The record is from RNAcentral.